AUACGGAGGAUCCGAGCGUUAUCCGGAUUUAUUGGGUUUAAAGGGUGCGCAGGCGGGAGAUUAAGUCGGCGGUGAAAUUUUGCAGCUCAACUGUAAAAGUGCCUUCGAAACUGGUUUUCUUGAGUAUGGAUGAAGUAGGCGGAAUUUGUGGUGUAGCGGUGAAAUGCAUAGAUAUCACGAGGAACUCCGGUUGCGCAGGCAGCUUACUAAGCCAUAACUGACGCUCAUGCACGAAGGCGUGGGGAUCAAACAGGAUUAGAUACCCUGGUAGUCCACGCAGUAAACGAUGAUUACUCGCUGUUUGAGAUACAAUGUAAGCGGCUAAGCGAAAGCAUUAAGUAAUCCACCUGGGGAGUACGUUCGCAAGAAUGAAACUCAAAUGAAUUGACGGGG
RNAcentral lists this ribosomal RNA (393 nucleotides) under uncultured bacterium. RNAcentral's name for it is "partial 16S ribosomal RNA". It matches the Rfam family "Bacterial small subunit ribosomal RNA", at positions 523 to 918 of the family's 1533-position model. The record is from RNAcentral.